Molecule: ribosomal RNA, 504 nt
Filed under: uncultured bacterium
Lineage: Bacteria
Description: bacterial SSU rRNA
Rfam family: Bacterial small subunit ribosomal RNA
Source: RNAcentral
UGAGUAAUGUCUGGGAAACUGCCUGAUGGAGGGGGAUAACUACUGGAAACGGUAGCUAAUACCGCAUAACGUCGCAAGACCAAAGAGGGGGACCUUCGGGCCUCUUGCCAUCAGAUGUGCCCAGGUGGGAUUAGCUAGUAGGUGGGGUAAUGGCUCACCUAGGCGACGAUCCCUAGCUGGUCUGAGAGGAUGACCAGCCACACUGGAACUGAGACACGGUCCAGACUCCUACGGGAGGCAGCAGUGGGGAAUAUUGCACAAUGGGCGCAAGCCUGAUGCAGCCAUGCCGCGUGUGUGAAGAAGGCCUUCGGGUUGUAAAGCACUUUCAGCGAGGAGGAAGGUGGUGAGCUUAAUACGCUCAUCAAUUGACGUUACUCGCAGAAGAAGCACCGGCUAACUCCGUGCCAGCAGCCGCGGUAAUACGGAGGGUGCAAGCGUUAAUCGGAAUUACUGGGCGUAAAGCGCACGCAGGCGGUUUGUUAAGUCAGAUGUGAAAUCCCCGGG